UUAAGAACCACUGCCAUAGGGGCUUAGUGUAGUGGUGCAGUUGUAAGUAGUAUAGGCCUAUUACUUAGCUAGCCUACACACACAACACAAUCCCAGUGUAUAUUGCUGUAGGUGUAGUCCCACCAUAGACUACAUUACCCACAAUCCCAGUGUAUAUUGCCAUUUAUGCCAUGUAUCUGCCUUUUCAGAACAUAAUGUUUUUCAAAAUAUCAGUAGGCUUACAAUAUUCAAAAUGAUUCUAACAUUCCACUAGCUAUGAAUGAAAGUGCACAGUAUUUCCUACCAAUAACAUAAGCCUACUACACAGAUUUACGUUACACUACUAAUCUUUUCUACUGCUUUUGUGCUUACAAUAUAGAUGGCAAAGGCUGCUCUUACAUGUUGAAGAAGAGUUAUAUGUUCCCAAAUAGAACUGCUGCAUCUCCUGAUGAAUGUGCUCAGAAUCAGAUAUGAGCUCCUCACUUUGCCAAAGGGUCCGACCUUGGACAGAGAAGGCAUGCCAUUCCAAAGUACCUCCCCAGUGCUGGCCAUGGGUUGUGUGUACUAGGGGUGGGGAAAAAAAUCGAUUCUUCGAUUUCUCUCGAUUCUCUCUAGAACGAUUCUGUCUCUAUUUUUUUUUACACAUCCGUUUUGUGUUGAAAUGCAAGCAGCAUCGAUUAUUGCAUUGUUCAUAGAAAGUCAUAAUUGUGACAAGGAAAAGCUUUUUCUCUAAUAAAAAAAUAGAGAAGGUAAUUCAUCUGUUGAUUUUCUUUAAUUAUCAAACACAAAGUAGGAAGUGAUUUGAGACUCUGAGUAGCAAACUCAAAUGUUUUAAAAAUCGAGAUGCAUCAAUAAUCAUUUUAUCGGUUUAGAAUUGAUAAUCGAUAAUCAGUUUAGUAUCGAUAAUCAGUUUAGAAUCGAUAAUCGGUUUAGAAUCGAAUCGUUGACCUCUGAAUCGGAAUCGAAUCGAAUCGUGAGGUGCCAAGAGAUUCCCACCCCUAGUGUGUACAUCUGCUGAAGUGAAAAUGGAAAUGUUCUUGUGAUGGAGCCUUUAUGGAACAACAUUUGCCGGUUUCAGGUUCUAAUGAGUUAAACAUGUUUGCACAACAUUGACACUGCAGCUCUGAAAGUAGUAGCCUAAAACGUCUAUGCUGUGUAAUUUAAUUUGUUUCAGGGCUCAAACCUGUCCAUGAUUGAACCCUUAUUAGGCAGGCAGAACAGGUUGAAAGUGAUUUUGCUCUAAGCAGUUGCUAUCUGAUUAAAACAGACUCUUUAUCCUUUAUCCAUCCACUGCAUCACAUAAGGUCUCCAAAGCGAGUGUAUGAUGAGGAUUGACCAUGUAUUUAGUUUGUCCUGACACCUGUUCACUGUAUGGUCUUUUAUUAAUCAUUCUCUGUCAAGGAAAUGUGUAACAGAACAUUCUUGUAAGGUUACAAAUGAGCUUUCGAGUCGGAGUUCUCUUGGCUGGUCACUCAGAGGACAUGGCUUCCAUUUUUGAGGGCUGUUCCAUGUUCUUUUGUAUUGAGUUGGAAAAUCCGUCUGGGAAAUAUCAUUCAUAUGUGUGGCAUUUUGCCCAUACUGUAAUGAAUACAGGGAAUGGAACUAACAUAAGAAGAGAAAAACGUUAGCACACUAAAAGAGAAGUACUGUUUUGAACUAACAUAAGAGGAGGAUAACUUUAGCACACUAAAAGAGAAGUACUGUUUUGAACUAACAUAAGAAUAGAAAAAUGUUAGCACACUAAAAGAGAAGUACUGUUUUGAACUAACAUAAGAGGAGGAUAACUUUAGCACACUUAAAGAGAAGUACAGUUUUGUGACAGAUGUUGUAUACACCCACGGUGGUCUGUAAUAGUCUUUACCUUUUGCUGUGUGUUGGACUGUUUGUUGGUUCUUAUUAAGAUACUGAAUGAGAAAGUUGAGUCUUGCUUGCCAGCCAGAGUUUCUCAGUGUUUCCUCUAUGUCUCACCCUCUGGUGUGCAAUACCGCAGACCCUACAUUCUAUGCUGAUGAGAGUUACUGUAUGCUGUAAAGCUGCCUUGUCCC
Molecule: long non-coding RNA, 2024 nt
Organism: Clupea harengus (Atlantic herring)
Lineage: Eukaryota; Metazoa; Chordata; Actinopteri; Clupeiformes; Clupeidae
Source: Ensembl